This is a long non-coding RNA of Danaus plexippus (monarch butterfly), 566 nucleotides long. RefSeq lists it as uncharacterized. The record is from RefSeq and is a predicted model, not a curated record. The transcript is spliced from 4 exons. NCBI's taxonomy places the organism in Eukaryota, Metazoa, Arthropoda, Insecta, Lepidoptera, Nymphalidae.
AAUACUUUAAUGUUUCAAAUAAUUUUGUUUGUGAUAGUUCAAAGAUGAGGAACACUUCACACUACACGGUCGAAGGUAAAGCACAUUUCACUUCAAGUGACAACAACUUUCAUCCCGAACCGAACUAGACAGUGAACAAGCUUCCUUACGACACUUCGACGUUAUGCGGAUACAAUUGUUUAAAUGGAGCUUUGAAAUAAAGAACAGUCAGAUGAUAAUGAAGUAUUGAUUUUAUUCUGAGUCAAGAAACUGUUAAAAAUUAUCUUGGUUUUGCUUUGUCUGUUGCCAUUAAAGUGGAAAGAGCGAUGAAAUUAACUGCUGUAGUCCUGCGUCACUUGUCUGAAGCUACGAAGUAACCUACGAUAUUUUCAAAGUUUAAAUGGCAUUAUAUCUACCGUUGGAUAAUUAAUCGUUGUAGAUCGCAGAAUCUGAAACGGCGUUUGAAAAAUUGGCAUCAUACGUAUAACUGACACAUUUUAGAUGCUAAAUUCGGUUAAAAAUAAAGGACAGUAGAGGAAAUAUUAGUUAUUUUAUUUUAUGAAAUGUAAAAAACACUCAUGUAUGGU